UAGCAGUAAACGAUACUCGCUAGGUGUCGGCCACGGUGCGACCGUUGUCGGUGCCGUAGGGAAGCCGUGAAGCGAGCCACCUGGGAAGUACGGCCGCAAGGCUGAAACUUAAAGGAAUUGGCGGGGGAGCACAACAACGGGUGGAGCUUGCGGUUUAAUUGGAUUCAACGCCGGAAAUCUUACCGGGACCGACAGCAACAUGAAGGCCAAGCUGAAGACUUUGCCGGAUUAGCUGAGAGGUGGUGCAUGGCGUAGUCGUGU
RNAcentral lists this ribosomal RNA (261 nucleotides) under uncultured archaeon. Its description in RNAcentral is "partial 16S ribosomal RNA". It matches the Rfam family "Archaeal small subunit ribosomal RNA", at positions 748 to 1009 of the family's 1478-position model. The record is from RNAcentral.